AUAAGAUUGCAUUUAUUCAGUUAAAUUAUUUUAGAAUUACAUAAUUGAGGUGUUUGGUUUAGAUUGAUUUGUAGCUUAUUCUUUUGAAAGAAUUCAGGGAUAAAUAUCAAUCUUGAAGAAUUGAUUUUAUUGGAGAUUAUAAAGUAUUCAUCUCGGUGAAAUUAUUAAUAAUUUAAAUUAUCACCUUUAGAUUCAAAUAAUAGAUCUUGUUCAUGUUUAUUGAAAAUUAUGUAAUGUAUAUGAAACUUCAAUUCAAAGUUUGGAUUUAUAAGCCGAUCUAGGGUCUUUUGUCAAUAUUGUUGCGGUUGCUGAUAAAUUUGAAUUUUAGAGGCUUACAUGAUUAUGAUGGAAGAUUUUUAAUAAAUGCCAUAGAUCUCGAUGAAGAAAACUCUAGAAGAGAUCGCCGAGUCAAUUUACUUAUAUCUAUUGAUUUAAGGUCUUCUAAGUUAUUUUUACUUGUAAGAGUUUGACUUGAAAUCGUCGAGUUGAGUAGAUGAGAGAAUUAAGAUUUAAUUUAUUUUGAAUUAUAGUAACUAGCCUAUAUGGUGUUUUUGAACGUAUCAAUUGACUCGAGGAUCAGUCUAGAUGGAUGUACUCGGGGGAAGUUAGAGGACGAAACCAAAAGUUCUUGUCGUUGAUUCUAUGAAUAAUCUGGAGGUAGCUAUGUAAUUUUCACCAAUGGAUUUUUCUAUUGUUGACAGUUCUUGGGAGAAUCUUGUGCAACCUAAAUUUAGAGUUAACAGAUUGAUGGUUCCUUGUUGGGCUUAGACCUACAAUGCUUUAACAUUGGUUCCCUACUCCUAGUUAUGACAUCAUCAAUCUAUCUGUUCGAAAGGGUUUGAGGUUUUUUUUAAGGAUAAAGGUUGAUCAUUAAAUCAUAGGCAAAGUUAAGAGAAGAAAAAAAAAAGAUUAUAGAUUAUGAAAAGUAUUUGAUGCUAAUGCUCUGACUUAUUUGUAUUAAGCCGAUUAUAAUUUUUGUGUGGAAUUAAUCAUGAACAAUUAAUUUCAAGAUGGGGAUUGUUUAGAAGCUCGGGAAUGACAUGAUGUUUCCAUACUUUCCAAAAUUUGAAGCCUUAAGUGAGUUAAUUUCGAGGAUGAAAUUAUUUUAAGGAAGGAAGAAUGUGAAACCCAAGCUUUGAAUCGAACUGGGCCUGGUCCACUUGACCGGCCCAACCACCAGUUUUGGCCUCACGUGCGUCGCACGUGAGGGCACACAGUGAGGCCGAAGAAGUCGGGAUCCCCAAUUUUAGGGCGUCCUCCUCCUCCCCUUUGAGACCACCCGAUGUAGAGCCGCCACGCCCGAGUCUCGUUCUUCCUCCUCGAGCUGCCGGCCGAGAGAGAGAGAGAGAGAGCCAAAAAAAAAAGAAAGAAGAAGAGAGGGAAGAAGAAGAAGGCUAACCGUCGCGGGCUCUUCUUCAUAUCCCGUGCGCAUGCCUCCUCCGCGGGAAGAAUGAGAAAGCCGGCCGCCGCGGGCACCGCCGGCCUCGACUUGGCCUCUUCCGAGCUCGCCGACCUCCUUUCGCGGGAGAAGAAAGAAAAAGAAAAAGAAAAAAAAGAGGAGGAGGAGAAAAAGUCGGGAGAAGAGAAGAGGAGGAGGAAAAAAAAAGAAUAGGGGGGAAGGAAUAGUGGAGCCGGGAGAAGGUUUUGGAGAAGAAGAGUAGAAAAAAAAGAAAAGAAGGAAAAAAAAGAGGAGAGGAGGAGAAAGAAAAAGAAAGAAGAAAGAAAGGGGGGAAGGAAUAGUGGAGCCGGAAGAAGGUUCUGGAGGAGAAGAGUAGAAAAGAAAAAAAAAGAAAAGAAGAAAAAAGAAAAAAAAGAAAAGAAGGAAAAAGAAAAAGAAAAAAAAGAAAAAGAAUAAAGAGAAGGUGUGGUUUACGGGUAUGAACCUAAACUCGAGGUGCUAGGCACUUCUGUAGGAUCAGCCAUGGGAGGAUAUUAAAAUUUAAGUUUUUGUAUACGUAUAUUAUGAUGAAUUUUAAAAGACGAAUAUGAUUUUUGAAUAUUAGGUUCUGCGAGGGAUUUGCGGAAUUAAUUGGAUUUGUUGUGGAUCGCGUUCGCAAGGUAAGUGAUGUAACCUCUUUCCUAGAUUUAUCAACAAACUAUAUACAUGUUUUACGAAUAGAAUUAUUCGUGAUUUCGAAUUUAAUGCAUGGAUUUUAUGUAUAUUUUUAGAAUAUUAUAUGACUCUGAUUGAACAUAUUUGCUUCUGAUUUGAAUUGUAUUUAAUUGCUCUAACAUUUUGCCUUUCGGCUUGGAACACUGAAUAUAAUAUAAGAAAAGAUAAUGACUUGAAAUAGAUUUUAGACUUGUAGUCGGGCUAUGCUAAGGACCCUGCCAAUGGGGCUAAUACAUUGGUACCGCAAGAAGAAUAGUCGGUGAUAUGACCCUGACAGGAAAUAUGUGGUCAUAGUUACUGACUGUUGAGUUGAAUCUGAUAAAUUGAAAAAAAUUAAAAUAUAAAUAAUAUUUGGUUUUGACACUGCAUGUUUUCAUGACUGAAAUAUGAAAUAGAGAACUAAUUGAACUUCGACUUGGCUAUGUUGAGAAUCCCGCCAAUGGGGGCAGAUACGUUGGCAAUUGACUGUCUUGAAGGACUCACCGCAAGAAGAUUAGUCGGUGUUGAUGACCCUACCACAGGAAACAUGUGGUCAUAGUCCAGGAUCGACAGGAUGAAUUGAACAUAUGAAAAGAAUCUUAAGAAUUUAAGAAAUAUUUAACUUGUACCCUAGAACUGCAUAUAUAUAUUUAUUUUCUACAUAUUAUUGCUUGAUUUAUCUAGCUAGAAUGUUUAUUACUUACUGGGCUAUUUAGCUCAUUAUACAAUUUCUUGUUUUGCAGAUUUCGAGAACUAGUCUUUGGAGUUCCAAAAUGGAAGAGCGACUAGAAGGAUUGUGGCACAAGUUAUCUUAGAUUAGAGUUAUUUAAGUUGAUUUGUUAUCUUGGACAUUUAUUAUGAUUGCUGGACUUUUGUUAUUUUAAGAACUAGAUUUCUGCAUGUUGGUAAAUUAUUAUUCCGCUACAUAUUUAGAAUUGUGAGACCUUAUGACUUGAGUUAGUCAAUGAAAUAAGAUUACAUUUAUUCAGUUAAAUUAUUUUAGAAUUACAUAAUUAAGGUGUUUGAUUUAGAUGCCUUGAAUACUCGUGGAAAGAGUUUCCUAUAGGUGUGCGGCAGUUGGCGCAACCCCCGGCUCGCGAUCUCGGGCUGAUAGAUUUGUUCCAUUGUGGGACUCCGAAAAGGAGUCAAAAAUGAAGGCAACCCCUCUUCACAGCGCCCACAGCGCACUCACAUCAUUUUCCUUUUUUUUUUUUUCAAUUCUCAUUUCAUGGUUUGGGCCAAGGUGGACUUGGGCUUCACCGGAUCUUUGUUGUUCCUAUUUUGAUCACCAUUGGGCUGGUCAAAUGGACCGGCUCGUUUUGGGCGGGGUAUUACAAAUGGUCAACAAACUUGUUAGCUCAUUUCUUACAGGACCUUGAUCCAACCAUAUCUUGUUUGUUAAUUAGGCAAUAAUCACAAUCAGAUCUGAUCUCCCCAGAUAUAGGUUUGGGUCACAACAAGGACGGCAAUGCAAUCUCCUAAUUUAUACUUCAUUGAUUUUAGUUCCACUCCUUCCCCCAGCUAUUUUUUCCUACAACCCCAAGAGAGACAUUGGAAAUAUCAGCCAAAAACAAGAGCAACGUAAUUUACAGCAAAACCAACCCAUUAUACAACGAUUAGUGACAUCCCAAGUAAUUAUCAAAAAAAAAAAAACACAAACAAAAAGCUGUAGAUUAUACCAGAUCGAGUGCCUGAUAUUAAUUACCAAGCCUUUGGCCAAAAUCUUUGAGCUGUAGGUAUCUCCAAGACCUGCAGAGUGUUAUUCAGUCAAGUAAUUAACACAAGAAAGUGACAUGGUAACCACUAAAAUGCAGUUCGAUUUCCUACAUUUCUCCAAGAACAGAAAAGCUAAGCUGCGCCCUAAAUUGUCUUACUGCAUUUUCUUGGUGCUAUAUUUUUGCAAGAAAUAUAGUAUGAGAAUUGUUUAAGUGCCCAGUCAUCGUUUUGGAUGUCUUAAAAGUAUUUAUGUUGCUAGUUUACAUAUUAAAAAAGAAACAAUUGAAAUGAAUCCAUAUGUACCUAAGUACCUUGAUUUUGGUCUUAGAUUCCUCCUCUUGGGCAUGAAUCCAAUGAUAAAAGACCAUUACACACCAAUAACACCUAAUAUGGAUUUUUCAAGUGCUUUAAGUGCCCAGUCAAAUUAAACACCUAAUACAAACUAGGACUUCUCAAGAAAUGAAAAAAGGGUGGACUAGAUUGAUUUUCUUGCUCAAGAUCCCCAGUAAGAAAUCGUUUCUUGCCUUUGGCAGCCAUCUGCCUCCCUCUUCUUGUUCCUGUCUGCACAUAGUGGGCAACAAGCUUCUAAAUCAUCUAAAAAUAGGAUCACAAGCAAUAACGCCCAGGAUCACUUGGGUUUCACAUGGGUCAGGGUUGAGACAAGGAGCCCAACGAACCUGAGUUGCCUUGAACCGCCUGGUUUGGGGUUGGCUUAGGUGGUAUACCCCCAGUUCACCAUAAAUCAAGGCAUAUCAGGCCUCCAUGCAUUGGUUCUUGGUCAAUAUGGUACAGUUUGAAAUCUUAAGCUCAGCUACAAAAAUAAAUUCAAAAUUCUCAAAUGCAUCUUUCUAUAUCAUUGAAGGAUCCAUGUCAAAAAACCACCUUAGGAAAUUAAUGUAAGAUAUACCUAAUGUGGUUUUAACAAUAAAGAGGGGAGGGGAAGGGAAGGGCGAGGGAUAUGCAAUCCUCUUUAUGGAUAAAGAAAAACAUACAGAAUUAGGGAAAAAAUCGACAUCCUGAUCUUGAUCAUCAUCAGUAAUUUAUUACAAAAACCAUAUUUUAAACAUUGAAAGAGCCUUCUAGAAUAAAGGAAAACCAAAAGUAAUAUCUCAUGGAUAGAUAUAAAAUUAAAACUGAACAGUUCAUUGAUUUUCUUUUGCCAAUAUAUCUCUAUUAAGACGGAAAUAGCCCUAGAUGGGGAAAAAUCUUCCC
This 5020-nucleotide long non-coding RNA is filed under the name Phoenix dactylifera (date palm). RNAcentral's name for it is "long non-coding RNA (PDAC_LNC002664)". Lineage: Eukaryota; Viridiplantae; Streptophyta; Magnoliopsida; Arecales; Arecaceae. The record is from RNAcentral.